UACGGAGGAUCCGAGCGUUGUCCGGAAUCAUUGGGCGUAAAGGGUACGUAGGCGGAUAAGCAAGUUAGAAGUGAAAUCCUAUAGCUCAACUACAGUAAGCUUUUAAAACUGCUCAUCUUGAGGAAUGGAAGGGAAAGUGGAAUUCCUAGUGUAGCGGUGAAAUGCGCAGAGAUUAGGAGGAAUACCGGUGGCGAAGGCGACUUUCUGGCCAUAAACUGACGCUGAGGUGCGAAAGCGUGGGUAGCAAAAAGG
Molecule: ribosomal RNA, 252 nt
Filed under: uncultured bacterium
Lineage: Bacteria
Description: partial 16S ribosomal RNA
Rfam family: Bacterial small subunit ribosomal RNA
Source: RNAcentral